UGGCGGCGUGGCUCAGACAUGCAAGUCGAACGAUUAAAGCUCUCUUCGGAGAGUGUAUAGAGUGGCGCACGGGUGAGUAACACGUAAGUAAUCUACCCUCGAGUGGGGAAUAACAACCGGAAACGGUUGCUAAUACCGCAUAAUGCAGCGGCACCGCAAGGUGACAGUUGUUAAAGAUUUAUCGCUUGAGGAGGAGCUUGCGGCAGAUUAGCUAGUUGGUAGGGUAACGGCUUACCAAGGCUACGAUCUGUAACCGGUCUAAGAGGACGGUCGGUCACACUGACACUGAAUAACGGGUCAGACUCCUACGGGAGGCAGCAGUCGGGAAUUUUGGGCAAUGGGCGAAAGCCUGACCCAGCAACGCCGCGUGAAGGAUGAAGUAUUUCGGUAUGUAAACUUC
RNAcentral lists this ribosomal RNA (400 nucleotides) under uncultured bacterium. RNAcentral's name for it is "bacterial SSU rRNA". It matches the Rfam family "Bacterial small subunit ribosomal RNA", at positions 37 to 433 of the family's 1533-position model. The record is from RNAcentral.